AUUAAAAUAGCUUAAUAAGAGUAUUGCAUUGAAGCUGCAAAGGUGGUUGUUUAUCUUUUAAUA
This 63-nucleotide transfer RNA is filed under the name Glyptelasma gigas. RNAcentral's name for it is "tRNA-Phe". It matches the Rfam family "tRNA". Rfam says of the family: Transfer RNA (tRNA) molecules are approximately 80 nucleotides in length. Their secondary structure includes four short double-helical elements and three loops (D, anti-codon, and T loops). The record is from RNAcentral. Lineage: Eukaryota; Metazoa; Arthropoda; Thecostraca; Poecilasmatidae.